UGCCAGACUCCUACGGGAGGCAGCAGUGGGGGAUAUUGCACAAUGGGGGAAACCCUGAUGCAGCGACGCCGCGUGUGGGAAGACGGCCCUCUGGAUUGUAAACCACUGUCCCCAGGGACGAAGAUGACGGUACCUGGGGAGGAAGCACCGGCUAAAUACGUGCCAGCAGCCGCGGUAAUACGUAUGGUGCAAGCGUUAUCCGGAUUUACUGGGUGUAAAGGGAGCGCAGGCGGCACGGCAAGCCUGAUGUGAAAGCCCGCGGCCCAACCGCGGGACUGCAUUGGGAACUACCGGGCUGGAGUGCCGGAGAGGUAGGCGGAAUUCCUAGUGUAGCGGUGAAGUGCGUAGAUAUUAGGAGGAACACCAGUGGCGAAGGCGGCCUACUGGACGGUGACUGACGCUGAGGCUCGAAAGCGUGGGGAGCAAACAGGAUUAGAUCCCCGAGUA
This 447-nucleotide ribosomal RNA is filed under the name uncultured bacterium. RNAcentral's name for it is "bacterial SSU rRNA". It matches the Rfam family "Bacterial small subunit ribosomal RNA", at positions 329 to 792 of the family's 1533-position model. The record is from RNAcentral.